RNAcentral lists this ribosomal RNA (253 nucleotides) under uncultured bacterium. Its description in RNAcentral is "partial 16S ribosomal RNA". It matches the Rfam family "Bacterial small subunit ribosomal RNA", at positions 524 to 776 of the family's 1533-position model. The record is from RNAcentral.
UACGUAGGGAGCAAGCGUUAUCCGGAUUUAUUGGGUGUAAAGGGUGCGUAGACGGGAAGUCAAGUUAGUUGUGAAAUCCCUCGGCUCAACUGAGGAACUGCAACUAAAACUAACAUUCUUGAGUGCUGGAGAGGAAAGUGGAAUUCCUAGUGUAGCGGUGAAAUGCGUAGAUAUUAGGAGGAACACCAGUGGCGAAGGCGACUUUCUGGACAGUAACUGACGUUGAGGCACGAAAGUGUGGGGAGCAAACAGG